AUCAUUGGUACUUUAUAUAUUUUUGUUCAGUGUGCAAUUCAAAGAAUGAAGAAAAGAAUCAAAAAUAAAUACUAUGAUAAAAACAUGAGUCUUCCUACGUUAAUUGACAGUGCAGGUGGUGGUCAGGACAUUACCAGCUUACAGGAGUCUAAUAAAUACAACAUGCAAGUAAAUGGCAAUUUGUAAGUAUGAUGGCUUAUAUUGAAUGUCAACUUGACUGAAGGAUACAAAGUAUUGUUCCUGGGUGUGUCCGUGAGGGUGUUGAUGAAGGAGAUUAACAUGUGAGUCAUAGACUGGGAGAGACAGACUUACCCUCAAUCUGGGUGGGCAGCAUCUAAUCAGCUGCCAGCGUGAAUAGAAUAGAGCAGCAGAAGAUGGAAGAGCAGGUUUGCUGAGUCUUCCAGCCUUCAUCUUUCUCUCAUGCCAGAUGCUUCCUGCCCUCAAACAUCAGAUUCCAGGUUCUUCAGCAUUUGGACUCUUGGAUUUACAGCAGUGGUUUGCUGGGGGCUCUUGGGCCUUUGGCCACAGACUGAAAGUGCACAGUCAGCUUCCUGACUUGAGAUUUUGGGGCUCUGACUUUCUUGCUCCACUGGCUUUCUUGCUCCUCAGCUUGCAGAUGACCUAUCAUGGGACUUCACCUUGUGAACAUGUGUCAGAUAUGCGUCACUACUUGCAAGCUCUUCCCACCUAUUUCUGUUCUUUCUUCGUCUGGACUUCAUGGGAGAUAGAUCUACUGGUUCUCUUGAACAAGUCUAAUGCCAUCUUUGCAUCAACAUCUCAGAGGACCUAAACUGGCCCAUGUGACAAUCUACUCACAUCAAUUGGACACCAAAAGACACCAGACAAAUAUUUAAGUGGACACGGGCUACAUCAUGAAUAAAGAAGAAAAUCUGUUGGGAUUUCCCAACCUCCGUUUCUAGGUAACGGUUGUAUAAUCACUAAGGCAGCCAGAGUCAGUACUGUUGACUCUCUUUUUAAGGGGUGCUGUGAUUUUCAAUCAAAAUAGAGAGUAAACGUUAGAGCAAUUAAGUUACUUAGUUUCAAUAGUCUUCUACAGAAUUUUAAAAUAAUUUUAAAUUACUGCCAAUAUUUUCAAAACUAAAAUUUAGAAUUUUAUAUCAGUGAUGGAAAGAAUGCUUGCAUUACUGAGGAUAAAAAGCACAAAAUUAUAGUUCAAGCAGUCAUUCUUUUGUACUUCAUAUGCACACAAACGAUAAAGUGGAGCUUGGAAUUCUACACAAAAGAAGAUAGUAAUUGGGCCAUUUCAUAUGGUCACCUACAUUUUUUUACAAAAGCAAAUUUAAUGUAGUCAUGUACCAGUGCAUCUUUGAAUAUCUUAUUUCUUAUGUCUUCUGAUGUAUAAGAGUCUAAUUACAGAGGUUGGGUGACUAAUUUCAUAUGGUUGCGGUCUGCAGAUUAGCAAGAAACAUAAAAUAUUUUUAACAAGUUAUAGUCAUAUUUCCUUGGCCUUAAAAUCACAUUUUUAAAAACCUACCUUAAAUCUCUGCAAGUCUAUUGCUUUCAGUGUGUUAUGGUGCAGAGGCAAUGAAAUGAUCCCAUUUGACUUCCAAGAAUUAAAAAAAAGACAAAACUGCUAUAAACUGAUAUACACUAACUUCUUCUUAAUCACAGACUAUUUUUUUUUUUUCAGUUAAACUCGAAUCACCCAGCUGACAAAUAGAUUUAGAACUUGUUACCUACUGGAUUGGAGUUACCAAAAGUGUUUUUGAAAAUAUAUUUUUUCCUAUUAAAGGAAGGUAAAUGAUAAAAAUGUAUAAGAAUCUUUUCCCUUUUAAAAAAGAAGUUAAUAACAAAGAUACGCUUAUUCAAGGCCUCUGGGAGGGAUCUUUCACCUGAAGGCUAAAGUAAUGUAAAACAUGAUGCUAAUAUCCUUUUUUUAUGGCCCAGGAAUGGGGAAUAUUUAAUUAGAUGGCUGUGUAGUAACACUCCCUCUGUACUUAGCAGUGUGCAGGGUACCUAGGGGUAUGCAAAGGAUGACAAUCUCAUACCUAUCAGAUUUGACUCUCACAAACGGGAGGAAAAGCAAAUACAUAGGAAGUGGUUAAUAGGCUAUCAUGUAUAACAAAACAGCAAAGAAAGUGAUAGUGAUCAUAAAAACUACUAGGUUUCAGGAGAAAAGUCAGAUUAGCCGAAGGCAUCAGAAAAACUUCAUUGAGGCUGAAGGUCUUGGGCUGGACUCUAAAGUAUGAGGAGCAUUUGGAUAAGCAAAGGAGGCAUUGGUUGAAAAUUCCAGGCCACAGCAGAGCAUAAGAAAAGCUUAGAGGCUGGAAAAUGUAUGUCAAACAGUGAAGAGAAUCACAAGGUGAGAAAAGGCUAGAGAACACUUGAUUUCAAAACCUAGUUUUAUCAUUUAUUAUUUGUGUAACUUUAGGAAAUUUAAUUUUUCUGGUCUCAGAUUUCUUAUAUGCAAUUAACCUACAGAGUUGGGUAAUCAACUUACAGAGUUUUAUGAAUAGUAAGAAAAGAACAUCUAUUAACAGGUUUUUGAGAAUACCAUCCAUUGUAUGUGUUAAAUAAAUUUGAUUACUCGAUUUUAAUUUUCUUAAAAGGAGGAGAGAGUUUAUAACGGAAGGUGAAGUAUACUUGAGUUAGACUGAGGAAAACCUAAAUGCAUACAAGAGGCAUAUAAACUUUAUCAUACAGGCAAUGGCUAGAUUUUGAGAGUAAUAAGAUACUGUAGUGUACUGGUUAAAAAAUAAUGUACUUUAAACAAAUCUACCUGGUGAUAAUAGGCAGGAUUUAUUGUACUGAGUGAUAGUGAAUCAGAAAGGCUAGAUAAAGAUACAUUCAUUUCAUAAGAUCCAAAUUAGGGUACUUAUAAUGAGCUAUGAAUUGCCUUUUUUAUAAUUAAUGAAAGC
Callithrix jacchus (white-tufted-ear marmoset) is the source of this 2879-nucleotide long non-coding RNA. The record is from Ensembl. Lineage: Eukaryota; Metazoa; Chordata; Mammalia; Primates; Cebidae.